This 6248-nucleotide unclassified non-coding RNA is filed under the name Hevea brasiliensis (rubber tree). The record is from RNAcentral. Lineage: Eukaryota; Viridiplantae; Streptophyta; Magnoliopsida; Malpighiales; Euphorbiaceae.
UUUUUGUAAUAAUGAAGAUAUCAUAUAUAACUUUCACAGUGGCACCCAUGACUGAGCUUAUCAUUCACUAAAGAAAACGUUUACAAUCUAACAAAGUUAAUCCAAUGAGUCCCUAACCAUAAAGAAAAAUAAAAAUAAUUAUAAAAAAACGAUGACAAAUUAACUUUAUGUGAGGGUUUAACGUCCUGAUCAAUAUCAAAGCUCUUCGAGUUGAAAUGGUUACUUUAAAAUUGCCAAGAUUGAGUUGCCGCGAAGGCGCGAACCAUGACUGUAACUUCUACACAAAUGGAAUCGUGUGGAUUUCACCAAAAAAAAAGGUGGGAAAAAAAAAAAAAGCAGAUUAAUGGAGGGAACUUAAUCACUGUAAUUAAUUCCCUAAUCAUUAUUAACUGAAAACCAGUAACCCACAUGAAAGAUGAUACAUAAAAGUCCCAAUUCAAAACUUUCAUCUGCCAGAGAAGUCACCGAAAUCAGCUUCUUUACAAUCUCAAUUACCGAAAUAGGUUUCUUUCUCCAAUCUUAGUUGUGUUCUUCAGAUUCUUCUUCAGAAGCCUCCUUCAACCACUACACCAAAGGAAUAUAUUGUAACAUAUAUGUGCCAUGAUGCAAUAACAGUAGUAGCAUCAUACAUCAAGUUUAAAUGAGCCAUGCACUAAAAGUAGAUUUGUUUGGUGAGAUUCAAAUUCUUGUGCUCCAUUUUCAUACAUCACCUGUCUGAAUGAACUUUUCUGAUUGGUUGACAAAAACUUUAUCUGAUUCCUCAGCAUCCUUUUUCUCAUCGGCCCAUCUUAAUAUGGCAUCCUCUUCUAAAAUGUCUUUGUCAUAUAAAAGAUGCAAAAUCUAAGGGAAAAUAAAGCUAAAAGAAUCAGCAUUACGAAGGAGAAAACAUCAUACAGUGAGCUGCUGACCCACAAUGAAGGAAAACUAUGCAACAAAAAGAGAUUAAAAUUCAGAAAGCCUCCUCAUUCAUUGAUCUAGCAUAUAAAAAAGAGAAAGGAUGCAUAGUGGAAGUUUAAUAAAAAUAGCCUAUGCAACCCUUUAAUGCAUCAAAAGUCUAGUUUUUAAUAGACAUGGCAACAGAAGAGUUUUGGUUCAGAGAUGAACCAAAUUCAAGCAUAAGCAACAAACAAAAUGGAACCACUGUGAAACAAAAUCAUUAAUCAUCUCAAAAUUCUCCCCAUUUAUUUGCCCCAAUGACAUCUCAUAGGGUAAACACAUUAUUUUUCUACCAUAAUUGUAUUAAAAAAUAUAUUUAUAUAAAUGAAAAAUAUUUUCAAAUCUUACUAGUGUUUGAAGUCCAAGUGACACCUCAAUUAACUCAAUUCCAUAUUUCCAUUUCCUGAACCAGUCUCAAGGGCAGCAGUGACGAUGGACCAUCCAGUUAACCAUCUUUCUGUUAUUGCAGUUCAUUCAGAUUUACUUCACAAUACAAUCUAUGAUCUGGAUGAUAAACUUGGCAAGCUCACCCUGUUCUAUAGGGCUUGCAUCAUAUGCCAAAAAAAUGUGUUUUUUUGAUGACAUGCCAUACAACCAAGUAUAUUGUAUCCAAAUGCACAUUGUGACUUUGGCUUUGUAUGUGGAUACAGAAAUUAUGUCCUUAAUUCCUUUGAUGUUGAACUAUAUUUUGGGGAUCAGUUCAUUGAUUACAAUAUGAAUUAUCCUUACUAUUAAACCAGGAACGAAUUACAUGCUAACCAAACAACACACUAUGAAGCUGACUGGAGAGAUGGAACUUUUGGUUAGUAGGUUGCAGACUGAUGCUACGUAUACAUACCCACAAUCCAAGACAAUGAAGAUACCUGGGAAAAAGUUGGCGAGAACUCCUUAGCAGACUCUAGACACAUUUCUUCAAAUUUCAAUAUCACUUCAAUCUGUUCAUUAAUAAUAUUUAGUAAAUACCCAAUUAUAACUGAAGAAACUAACAUAUAAUUAUAUAAAAAGAGCAAGGAAUGUUAUUAGUUUAAAAUGUUCACUCAGACGACUAUUUGAUAGUGAUGCAAUCAUGUCCAAAGUAAGAGAGGAAAAGAGUAAGAAAAAUAUGAUUCUCUAUGAUGUGAAGAUUAGUGUUGAAAGUGCAAUAGAGGGAAAAGAAAAAAUUCAGAUAAGAGUAGGACAUAACUGAUUCAAGUGAUGUAUAAUCAAAAGUUCAAAGGUAUAAAUAAGACUAGGUAAAAUGGCACCAUUGGUUGAUGACCAACACAGAAAGGAAAAGAAUAUAAAGAAAAUGCAUUUAAUAAUGGAAAAUCCAGUGUAUGCAUAAAUAUUUAAUUUGAUAGUAUAAAAUUUGCUUCAAGCAAUGUUAUAGCAAUUUAAAUAAGAAAUAAAGACAAUUGAAUUUUAAAUAAAGGUAAAACUAGCAAAAGUUGAGUUAACAGCCGGAGAUGUACAAAAUUUCCCAAACAAAGUAUGAUUCUACAGAGAGCUCAAAUUUGGUAAGUCUUUCUAAAUUGACAGGAUAAUGGGUAAAAUGCAACAGUCAAGGAUACAUAAAGAGUCAAAAACACCAACAAUGCAAACCUGAUCAUCUAUUUCUCUUGCAUAGAACUUUAGCAGCUUUUGCCAUGUACUUACAAUACUUGCAACAUUUUUGUAUAAUUCACCUGAGACGUAAAAAGAAGCAUCAACUUAAACAACAAAAAGCAUUAUUUUAGUUCCCCAGCCUCUAAUUGUAACAAUAGCAAUAAAACUAGAGCACCAUCCUAUACAUUUUUAAUAAAUAAAGUGAAAAAAAGAUUAAAAAUGGGAUAUGCUUCUAGUAAGAUGGAACUAGUUAUGAAAUCAUGCCCAGUUCAAAACUUCAUGGUUUUGUGCAUCCUAUCUUAAAUUAUAAAAAAAUCACAUUUUCAUUCUCCUAGCAAAAUAAGUGCAUAGGAAAUCAUUAGAAAAGAGAAUGCUCUAAGAUGACAUGAAUGUAUAAAUAUAACAUAUUGCUGAAGACAUUAACCACCAGCAGCAGGAUGUGGAGUUUCUAAUGCCAACUUCAUCAUUGCAUAAAAUAUUGCUCCAGCACAGUCUGCAGACGUCAUGUUGUAUGACAACCGGAGUGAGUUCAUUUCAAGGAUUAUAUCAUCAACUUUGAUAUUUUCAUGAACAGCCCUCAAAAAGGUUGCUUCAACCUCCUUCUCAAAGGUGUCAUCUCUAGAGUCAUCAUCACCUUCAGAAUCAUUACUGUUAUAGUCAGGUUUCAACUCUCCAGAAGGUGAUAGAGCACUUCCAUCUAGAUUCAACAAUUCCAAAUCAUCUUCUAUAGCUUGCAUAGCCUCCGCAAGUUUCUCAGCAGGAAUAGGUGCCACUGAAUGCCUCCAUUCAUCUUCAUGACCUCCUUCAGAGAUUGACCAAACAUAACCAGCACCACCAGGCCCAAGCUGACAAGGGAUAAAAAGUAUUAAGAAAAUAAACAUAUGUAGUCAGCUGCAUGACAAAUGACAAAUAGGAUUUUUUAUGUUGCCAUGAAGAAACCAAUAAAAGAUAUACCUGAUACCACUUCUUGGAUAGACAAAACUAGAGCAACAGAUUUUUUUGCAUCAACAAGUUAGAUGCAUGUUGAAUAUUUCCUCACAAGUUUGCAACAAUGGACUAUCAUGUGCCCUAAUUACCCAACAUUUGAGACAAUAUGCUCUCACUUCUCCUUUAACCACUAACUAAAUUAUCAAUAAUGGUUCUCAAUUAAAGAAUGCAACUGAGACUGCUAUUCAUGUUGGAAUAUUUUUUACAACCUUAUGCUAGCCCUUUGAACCAAAUAUUAAAUUAAGCCAAAUAAUAAGUGCAACUCCAGUUUUAAGGAGGAUUACUACAGGCCUCCCUUCAAACAUAAAAGGAAAAAAAGGAUUAACAAAUGUAAAAUAAGUUUUACAUUGACUGUAAUAAUAAGUAUUACAUUGACAAAAGCCAGUUAACAAACUAACCUUUCUGCACCAUUGGUUGUGGUCACAAAUCUCUGUGUCUUCAAUGUUUUAAAGAGACAUUGUCAUGCAAGGCUCAAGUUCUUUCUCCAUUUUUCUUUAUAUCUGUUCCAUACCCCCAGGGAUAAUCUUCCCUCUCAUUAUAAUUUAUACAAAAUAAUUUUCCCUUCUCACUAUAAUAUUCCCUCUAGCUUUUACACUUUCGCAUAAAAUCCCUUAAAGAAAAUAGCACAAUAAAUAAAAAAAAUUCAUACAGCCAAACGUAAAUAAUACAACUAGGAGAUAGCAGUCACAGUGAAGGGAAUUAAAAACUAAAGUAAAUGGCUAACCUCUGAUGCUGGUUCAGAUGUCAUCUCCCCAUUCAACUUAUCCAUAGUACCUGAAAUUGACGAAUCUAAUAUUCCACUGUUACUAUCAGCAUAUUCCAAUUCUUCAUCACUAUCUUGCAUAGUUGGCUGUUGAAGUAGAGACACUUUUGAGUAGGCAGGGACAACAAAUUGUUGUCCAAUUACAACCUUGAAAGACAACACCACACCAGGUUCCAAGACUGCACCUGAUUUUAUUAUCACCCCAUCACAUACAAUUGCAUGCCUUAGCUCACAACCAUCUUCUAUAGUGACAUCAUCCCAUACAUAGGAACCUACUAUUGAAACAUUUGAUCCAAUUGCACAGUUUUUUCCAAUAACAGAAUUUGAAAUCUUUGAGUUGUUCCCAAUUCUGGUCCCUUUUCCAACAACAGUAAAAGGACCCAUUUGUGCAGAACGUGAUUGCUCUAUUUCUGAAGAAAAUGAAAACAGUGAAGUACCAGUCAGCACAAACUUACCUAAAAGUAAAUAAAAAGGAUAUCAUAAGCAGCUCCUCACAAUAAGGAUACCUUGCUACUUAUCAAAGGAUAUAAGGGGACAUCAAUAGUGAAAGUUACUACUGCAUAACAACCAAAGAAUUAAUAAGUGAAGAAAUGCCAUUUUAUCAUAACAGUUAACCAUGCCAACAAUGGCAUUUUCUAAACCAACAAAUGAGCCAAUAGCAGCAUAUCAACAAACAGAAUAAGUAAAAACAGCCGUUUGAAAUAUCUAGUGGCCCCACAAAAAUAUGCUAAAUAUCUUCAAUUGCACUACUUCCUCUCAGCACAAUAAAAUAACAAAUAAAGAGACAGAAAAAGCUCUAAAGACAGUAAAAUGUAGUUCAAGCUGCGUAUAUUAAGUGCACUAGAAACCCCCAGUGCUUCCCUCUAAUGGCAUAACACAUUUAAUGCAAAACAUGGAGAGUUAUUGUUAUGAAAAUAAAAUAACUUAAAAAAAUAAAGAAAAAUCUAGUUACUACAAAAUGCAAUUUAUUGAGUUGAGUUUUAGAGUAAUAAUCUUUACCGGGUGCUCUGUACAUCCCUUCUCUCUCAACCUUAGUUGCAGAAUUUGCAAAAAAGGUCACAUCUGGCACAAAUGGAUAUGUCCAUCUCUGAAUAAUGUCCUUACUGAUAGUGUCAUAGCUUCGAUAGUUAUCAAUCCUAGCCGCAUAACUUGAGUGAAUCUCAUAAGUGAAUAUUUUGUAACCCAUAAUAUCAUCAACCAGUAAUCCCUUCACAAAAUGACGGCGAAGGUGUUGAUAAUCAAAAUUGUCUGUGAAAAGGCUCAGAACUUCUGAAGAGCAGAUGUCAAUAUAGCAAUCCUGCUUGUCAUUAUGCAGACAAAUAGAAGGAUUAUCAGCAAGCAACAUAUUAUCAAGAGAUAUGAACCCUUUUAUGUGGUCAGCCUUUUCCUCAUAAUACAGAAGCUGUUUUGUUUGAGGAUCUAUUGCCAUAAAUAAUUCAUCGGUACCAAGCCGUGACUGGUGGGUGAUUGGAGAUGGCUUUGACUGUUUAAUAACCAUAGUCAUUACUGCGUUACUGUCUUUUUUCCUUCUCUCCUUGUGUUCUUGAAUUGCCUGUGUGAGCGACAUGUUGCUUACAGUAUCCCCACUAACAAGGACAAAAUCCCCGUGUAUCACGUUGCGUUCAUAAAUCAAACGCAAAGCAUCUCCAGCACUAAUAGAAUUAUGCGACUCAAUUGUUGUGACAGUGAAAUUGGGCUGCGAAAACCAUUCCGAUUUCUCCAAAUAAUCGAUCACUUGUCGAGAAUGCGCACAGCAGAACACGAAAACCUCUUCAACUCCAGCGGAUUCGAGCCAUGCCAGAGUAUAGUUAAUCAUGGGCACAUUCACCAAAGGCAAUAGCACUUUGGGGCGUUCGAGGGUGAUGGGACGGAACUUGGUGGUGAAGCUAUCAGCCAAUAAGAUGGCUUGCAAUGGGUGUCGAGCUAAUUCCUCUGGUUCCUCAGUGACCCUAGUUCCGCCCUUCCUCUGCACACCCAU